AUGCUGGCGCAUGUCUUCUGCUGCUUUUGAUCCGGGAGAUUCCACGGGCUACAGGCCAUGGCGGAAAAGUGGUGUUACGAAGCGAAAAUUAUUUGUCUUGGCUUUUGAAUUAUUCCAACAGUGUUGAACGAAGCAAAGCAGAUAAUCAGUCUGUGCUCUGCGGGCUACUUCGUAGAAAAAAUAUAAAACGUUAGGAGUCAUUGUGCACGUUUUGUGAGAACAGAUGUAAGCUCAAGUCUGCGGCGAGACAGGCUGAUUGCUCGAAAAUCGUAAGGUGUGUGUUUGUGCGACUUCAUCGUUCAAAAUGAGCUCAGCCCACGGAGGAAGAAGAAGGCCGCUUACCAGGACAACCUCUUCGUCGGAAGACCAAGCUUUGAAUCAAAUUGCUCGUGAGGCUGAAGCACGUCUUGCCGCUAAGAGAGCAGCCAGAGCUGAGGCGAGAAGUAUUCGUCUGAAAGAGCUUGAACGCCAGCAACAGGAAGGAGAAAAUGUAUGUCCACAUAGCCAACAAUGAGUUUAGUUGCUUUAUUUACAUUAUCUACUGCAGAAAGGUGCUGUAAAUUUGGUCACUCUAGAACCAGUAGUUACAAAGAACGUAGUUUUUGUAAUUAAUAAUGUAAGUAUGCGUGCUGUAAAAAAUAGAUAAUUAAUAAUAAUAAUAA
Molecule: long non-coding RNA, 662 nt
Filed under: Orbicella faveolata
Lineage: Eukaryota; Metazoa; Cnidaria; Anthozoa; Scleractinia; Merulinidae
Description: uncharacterized LOC110049915, transcript variant X2
Source: RNAcentral